Cordylochernes scorpioides is the source of this 74-nucleotide non-coding RNA. Lineage: Eukaryota; Metazoa; Arthropoda; Arachnida; Pseudoscorpiones; Chernetidae. The record is from the annotation of a GenBank genome assembly.
UGAAUAUAGCCUAGUGGACAUGGCAUCUGCCCGGUAAGCGGAACACUGUGGGUUCGAUUCCCAUUCCUGGACAC